This 421-nucleotide ribosomal RNA is filed under the name uncultured bacterium. Its description in RNAcentral is "bacterial SSU rRNA". It matches the Rfam family "Bacterial small subunit ribosomal RNA", at positions 355 to 774 of the family's 1533-position model. The record is from RNAcentral.
UAAGGAAUAUUGGUCAAUGGACGCAAGUCUGAACCAGCCAUGCCGCGUGAAGGAUGAAGGUCCUCUGGAUUGUAAACUUCUUUUAUCUGGGACGAAAACGGGAUUUUUAUCUCAAUUGACGGUACCAGAGGAAUAAGCAUCGGCUAACUUCGUGCCAGCAGCCGCGGUAAGACGAAGGAUGCAAGCGUUAUCCGGAUUCAUUGGGUUUAAAGGGUGCGUAGGCGGGCUUGUAAGUCAGUGGUGAAAUCUCUCAGCUUAACUGAGAAACUGCCAUUGAUACUGCAGGCCUAGAGUAUAGAUGACGUUGGCGGAAUAUGACAUGUAGUGGUGAAAUACUUAGAUAUGUCAUAGAACACCGAUUGCGAAGGCAGCUAACGAAACUAUAACUGACGCUGAGGCACGAAAGUGCGGGGAUCAAACA